GACGAACGCUGGCGGCGUGCCUAACACAUGCAAGUCGAACGGGGUGUUCCUUCGGGGACACUUAGUGGCGAACGGGUGAGUAACGCGUGAAGAACCUGCCUUUCAGUGGGGGACAACAGUUGGAAACGACUGCUAAUACCGCAUAAUGUUACCGGGUGGCAUCACUUGGUAACCAAAGCUUUAUGUGCUGAAAGAUGGCUUCGCGUCUGAUUAGCUAGUUGGUGAGGUAACGGCCCACCAAGGCGACGAUCAGUAGCCGGACUGAGAGGUUGACCGGCCACAUUGGGACUGAGAUACGGCCCAG
This 304-nucleotide ribosomal RNA is filed under the name uncultured bacterium. RNAcentral's name for it is "bacterial SSU rRNA". It matches the Rfam family "Bacterial small subunit ribosomal RNA", at positions 28 to 334 of the family's 1533-position model. The record is from RNAcentral.